This is a long non-coding RNA of Antechinus flavipes (yellow-footed antechinus), 3547 nucleotides long. RefSeq lists it as uncharacterized. The transcript is spliced from 2 exons. Lineage: Eukaryota; Metazoa; Chordata; Mammalia; Dasyuromorphia; Dasyuridae. The record is from RefSeq and is a predicted model, not a curated record.
GCUCGCGCCGGGCCUGCAUCAGAUAACCAUAGAGAACGACCUAGAGAGAUAGCCAAGUCCUCAGUCUUGGAGUGACGGAUUCACAACGCGCUCUCGCCAUCUCGCGGUCGGAAGAGCGUGCUGCGCUUGAAGCUCUCCUUGGAGGCAGAGAGAGUAGCCUUCCAGUGCCUAGAGCGUCCUCAGUCUCUAGAUGAGGACACUUCCGGUAACGGCCCGGCUAGGAGGCCCCGCCCAGGACGGGCAGGGAGGCAGUUGGGAGCCGAAUGGGGUGCAGGUGCCUAAAAUGGGGGAGGAGAGGGAUCUGUGAGGGACAGAAAUGGAGUCCGUGAUAAGAAGGGGAGGGGAAGGGAGGAGUCAGAGAGGGGGAGGGGGAAAGUCGGGGAGAGGAGGGGGAAGGAUCGGUGAGGGGACAGAGAGGGUCGGAGGAGCGGAGGGGAGUUAGGGGGGAGGGGUUUAUGAGGUGGGGUCGGUGAGGGGGAGGGGAGGAGAGCGGAGCACCGGGGAGUGGGGAGUGGGGUGACGUCAGAGUGCCUGGGGGGUGUUUGGAGGUCGGGUCGGGACUGGGAUCCUGGAUGUCUGCUGACGGUUUUCAGGUGGCUUGGGUUAAGACCAAUUUAUAGAGCUAGUGUUAAUGUGCUUCAGCCGGACCUGCGUGGGGGGGGAAGCCCUUUAGAACCGCCCUAGGGGUCGGAGAGGGCGAUCCAACCAACACUUAUUAAGCACCUGCUGUGUGUCUAUGCUUGGGGGUGGGUACCUGGAAGCUCAGGGUGCCUCCCAGACAGGGCAGAGGGAUGGCACCAGACCUCCUGCCAUGGAGGGAGGGACGCUGGCAGUUUGGAGUGAGAACCAGCCCGGGGACGGCUGAGCUUUUGUCCUAGAAUCCAGAGUUAUUGGAAAUGUUGGGGCCCGAAAUGUGGCGGGGGCGCCCCAGCUUUGGGAGGUGGGAGACUACCCAGAUUGAGGGACUAUGCUGGCCUGGGCUGGGAGGAGUGGAUCACCGACCCCCUGGGGUACCUAUCAGAGCACCCUCCCCCGCACCGGAGCGCCCCUCCCCCUGAGCAACCCCCCCCCCCCCCCCAGACGCCUAUCAGAGGUGCAGGGUCACCUCCCACCGCAACUGGUCGGGGAGCCCACAGAAGCAAGGCCUUAGAUUAGGUGGACUUGAAGGCCUUCUCACCCCUGAGAUCCCUGGAGGACAGAGGUCCUCAGUUUCAGCUUUUCUACAUACUUUCCUUCCAACAGUCUUGGGUAGGUGGAUGGUUCCAAAUAUCUUAUACCCACAUUUUACUGAUAAGUGAAUGCUUCCAGCACGGGUUGACCACAGGUUAGUCAUAAGAUUCAGUGUCUGGCACAUAGUAGGUUUGCAUUAGGUAGUAGAGUGGAUCUAGCUGGCCCUAGAGUCAGGAAGAGAUGAGUUCAAAUCCAACCCCACACACACUUAACCCCUACAUGAACUUUGGGCAAGUGAACUUAACCUCAGUCUGCCUCAAUUUUCUUCAAAUAUAACAUAGGAAUAUUUAAUAUUUUUCCUCAGUUACAUUCAAAAUAAAUUUUUUUGAAUUCUUUUUAAAAAAUUUUGAGUUCUAGGUUCUCUCCCUUAUCCCCACCCACAAUUAGAAACCAAUGAAGUUAUGUAAAAUUUCCAUAAAAGUCAUGUUGUGAAAGAAAACAUAGAUUUCCCACCCCAGUGAAAAUAAAAACCCUCAAGAAAAGUUAAGCUUAAAAAGGAGUUAGAGAGUGUUUCAAUCUGAAUUCAGACACAAUCAGUUCCUUCUCUGAGUAUGGAUAGGAUUUUUCAUCACUAGUCCUUCAGAGUAGUCAUGGAUAAUUGUACUAGUGAGUUUAGCAAAGUUGGUCAUCCCAAAACAUUGCUAUUACUUUGUAUAUAGUACAUUUCACUUUGUUUGAGUUCAUGGAGGACUUAAUAGGUUUGUUUGUUUUUUUCUUUCUGAGAGCAUCUUGCUCAUCAUCGCCCAUAGAAAAAUAAUAUUCCAUCGCAAACACAUGUCACAGUUUAUUGAGCUCUUCCCCAAUUGAUGGGCAUCUCCUCAAUUUCCAAAUUUCCCCCCCAAGAUGAGAGCUGCUAUGAAAAAUUAGGAAUAAGAAUAAUACCUUCCUCAUAAGGUUGUUUUGAAAAAUAAGAUAAUAGUUGUAAAAGAGUUAGUACAACGAUUGGCAAUAAUUUAUGUGUACUUAGUGCUUAAUUAAUAUAUCUUUUCUUCCCGUUCUCUUUCUCCUUUUAUCUGAGCCCAUUAGGAGUUCAUGGUCCAUCUGGACAAACCUAACAUGCUGAGAUGUUUUGUCCAAAUACAAAAAAGAACAAUUUUAUACAGUUUAUACAAGUCUGGGUACCACUUGAGGGAACAUUGAAUUAUGACUAGAUGACAGCAGCCAGGGUCAAAGGCCUUGAAGUCAUGAAAAGAUUCAUUGAAGAACCUGAAGAUGUUUGACCUGAAGGAGAGAAGUUUAGGUACCAGGGAUGGGGGAAGGUACCAAGGCUGUCUUCAAGUACUUGAGGGGAUGCCACGUGGAAGAGGGUGUGGAUUUGUUUUCUUUGGCCAAAAAGGCCAUAACUAAGUACAUUGGAUGGAAGUGAAUAAUUAAAGCUGCCCAUGAGUAGACUGCACCGCUUCAGCAGGUCUGAAGACAGAGACCAAAUGAUCACUUCUCUGGUGGAUUGGAAUAAAAUUCUUGGCUCCACAUGAAAUCCUGAAUUACACAUAAGUUUUGGGAUACCCAUAAAGCUGUGUUGGUGGGCGGCAGGUGAAAGGGAUGUCAGCCCCAAAAGAAAGCAAGAACGCAAGUAAGUAAAUCACAGCAUAGUGUACUAGAGUUGUUGGAAUUACUUAAUUGGCAAAGAACUCUUCAAAUGUGUUUCACGAAUGAUGGUAUUGUCCUCCCCCUUCCCAUGCUAUGCCCGAGUCUUGAAACAACAUGGCAGAAAGCACUCCAUUUGCUAUUGGCUAAGGUCAUCAGCCCAUCAUAGGCUUAGGGAGGACAAUGAGGUCAAACUGGGGCCACCAUGGAGAAUUCUGCUUAGUUGGCCCAAAGUUGGAAAUAAGCUUCUGCCUCAUCCCAGCCAGGCUACUUCUCCAGUUUUUGUCACCUAGCGACUUACUCCAAUAGCCGGCACCUAUCACUUCUAGGAUCGAAUACAGAAUCAAAGCUCUUCAUAAACUAGGCCCCCUUCCCCUGUCUUUUCAGUAGUCUUCAUACACCUUAUUUCCCAUUUCACACCCAUCCAUCCAGUGAUCCCCACUUCUUGGUUGUUCCUCCAAGAAGACCCUCCACUCUCACCUGUGGGUAUUUUCUUUGUCCUUCCACACCUUUCAAAACAUGACUUUUAUGGAAAUGUUUUACAUAAGAGUAACAUACUCUUCCUGCAUAUGGUUUGUACGUAUUUAUUUGCUUGUCAUGUCCCCCAUUAGAUUGUGAGCCCCUUGAGAUUAGGUACUGGCUUUUGCCUCUUUUUUGUAUUCUCAGCCCUUUUCGUUGUAUCUGUUUCAUAGUAGGUGCCUAAUAAACAUUUAUUGAUUGAUUAAUUGUA